This 468-nucleotide ribosomal RNA is filed under the name uncultured bacterium. RNAcentral describes it as "partial 16S ribosomal RNA". It matches the Rfam family "Bacterial small subunit ribosomal RNA", at positions 28 to 507 of the family's 1533-position model. The record is from RNAcentral.
GACGAACGCUGGCGGCAUGCUUAACGCAUGCAAGUCGAACGGAAAGGCCCUGCUUUUGUGGGGUGCUCGAGUGGCGAACGGGUGAGUAACACGUGAGUAGCCUGCCCUUGACUUUGGGAUAACUUCAGGAAACUGGGGCUAAUACCGGAUAGGAGCUCCUGCUGCAUGGUGGGGGUUGGAAAGUUUCGGCGGUUGGGGAUGGACUCGCGGCUUAUCAGCUUGUUGGUGGGGUAGUGGCUUACCAAGGCUUUGACGGGUAGCCGGCAUGAGAGGGUGACCGGCAACAUGGGGACUGAGAGACGGACCAGACUCCUACGGGAGGCAGCAGUGGGGAAUAUUGCACAAUGGGCGGAAGCCGGAUGCAGCAACGCCGCGUGCGGGAUGACGGCCUUCGGGUUGUAAAACGCUUUAGCCUGUGACGAAGCGUGAGUGACGGUAAUGGGUAAAGAAGCACCGGCUAACUACGUG